Molecule: ribosomal RNA, 253 nt
Filed under: uncultured bacterium
Lineage: Bacteria
Description: partial 16S ribosomal RNA
Rfam family: Bacterial small subunit ribosomal RNA
Source: RNAcentral
UACAGAGGGGGCAAGCGUUAUUCGGAAUUAUUGGGCGUAAAGGGCGCGUAGGCGGCCUGGCAAGUGGAAGGUGAAAUCCCUCGGCUUAACCGAGGAACUGCCUCCCAAACUGCUUGGCUUGAGACCGGGAGAGGUGAGUGGAAUUCCCAGUGUAGCGGUGAAAUGCGUAGAUAUUGGGAGGAACACCAGUGGCGAAGGCGGCUCACUGGACCGGUACUGACGCUGAGGCGCGAAAGCCAGGGGAGCAAACAGG